RNAcentral lists this ribosomal RNA (900 nucleotides) under Fusarium solani. Its description in RNAcentral is "28S rRNA". It matches the Rfam family "Eukaryotic large subunit ribosomal RNA", at positions 34 to 965 of the family's 3401-position model. The record is from RNAcentral. Lineage: Eukaryota; Fungi; Ascomycota; Sordariomycetes; Hypocreales; Nectriaceae.
CUAGCAUAUCAAUAAGCGGAGGAAAAGAAACCAACAGGGAUUGCCCCAGUAACGGCGAGUGAAGCGGCAACAGCUCAAAUUUGAAAUCUGGCUCUCGGGCCCGAGUUGUAAUUUGUAGAGGAUGCUUUUGGUGAGGUGCCUUCCGAGUUCCCUGGAACGGGACGCCAUAGAGGGUGAGAGCCCCGUCUGGUUGGACGCCGAACCUCUGUAAAGCUCCUUCGACGAGUCGAGUAGUUUGGGAAUGCUGCUCUAAAUGGGAGGUAUAUGUCUUCUAAAGCUAAAUACCGGCCAGAGACCGAUAGCGCACAAGUAGAGUGAUCGAAAGAUGAAAAGAACUUUGAAAAGAGAGUUAAACAGUACGUGAAAUUGUUGAAAGGGAAGCGCUUGUGACCAGACUUGGGCUUGGUUGAUCAUCCGGGGUUCUCCCCGGUGCACUCUUCCGGCUCAGGCCAGCAUCAGUUCGCCCUGGGGGAUAAAGGCAUCGGGAACGUGGCUCUCUCCGGGGAGUGUUAUAGCCCGUUGCGUAAUACCCUGUGGCGGACUGAGGUUCGCGCAUUCGCAAGGAUGCUGGCGUAAUGGUCAUCAGUGACCCGUCUUGAAACACGGACCAAGGAGUCGUCUUCGUAUGCGAGUGUUCGGGUGUCAAACCCCUACGCGAAAUGAAAGUGAACGCAGGUGAGAGCUUCGGCGCAUCAUCGACCGAUCCUGAUGUAUUCGGAUGGAUUUGAGUAAGAGCAUACGGGGCCGGACCCGAAAGAAGGUGAACUAUGCCUGUGUAGGGUGAAGCCAGAGGAAACUCUGGUGGAGGCUCGCAGCGGUUCUGACGUGCAAAUCGAUCGUCAAACAUGGGCAUGGGGGCGAAAGACUAAUCGAACCUUCUAGUAGCUGGUUUCCGCCGAA